This 592-nucleotide ribosomal RNA is filed under the name Pestalotiopsis diploclisiae. RNAcentral's name for it is "eukaryotic LSU rRNA". The stretch from base 234 to 387 matches the Rfam family "5.8S ribosomal RNA". Lineage: Eukaryota; Fungi; Ascomycota; Sordariomycetes; Amphisphaeriales; Sporocadaceae. The record is from RNAcentral.
ACAAGGUCUCCGUUGGUGAACCAGCGGAGGGAUCAUUAUAGAGUUUUCUAAACUCCCAACCCAUGUGAACUUACCAUUGUUGCCUCGGCAGAAGCUGCUCGGUGCACCUUACCUUGGAACGGCCUACCCUGUAGCGCCUUACCCUGGAACGGCUUACCCUGCAACGGCUGCCGGUGGACUACCAAACUCUUGUUAUUUUAUGGUUAUCUGAGCGUCUUAUUUUAAUAAGUCAAAACUUUCAACAACGGAUCUCUUGGUUCUGGCAUCGAUGAAGAACGCAGCGAAAUGCGAUAAGUAAUGUGAAUUGCAGAAUUCAGUGAAUCAUCGAAUCUUUGAACGCACAUUGCGCCCAUUAGUAUUCUAGUGGGCAUGCCUGUUCGAGCGUCAUUUCAACCCUUAAGCCUAGCUUAGUGUUGGGAGCCUACUGCUUUUGCUAGCUGUAGCUCCUGAAAUACAACGGCGGAUCUGCGAUAUCCUCUGAGCGUAGUAAUUUUUAUCUCGCUUUUGACUGGAGUUGCAGCGUCUUUAGCCGCUAAACCCCCCAAUUUUUAAUGGUUGACCUCGGAUCAGGUAGGAAUACCCGCUGAACUUA